AUGGCCCCCAACCCACUGAUGCCACCAGACAGUGUGACCCUACAGGGGCCCUCAGCCACCAUCCCCCAGCCCAAUAGCAAGGUGCCCAUGUCAUCUCAUGUCCCUGAAUCGCCCCAUGGGCUGCAGGACAGGAUGGGCAGGCAGACGAUGCCAUCAGGCCGCUUGGUGGUGGCCCUGCAACGUCCCCUGGGUGAGAGGCAGCAGGCAGUGGGCAGCUGCCUGCAGCCUGGAGCAGGGCAGGGGCGGAGGGGUGGCCACUCUGUCACCUUCACACUAAGAGACCUGCCCCGGGCAGAGCCACCAAGUGGGGGAUGUCCUCCGCGUGGCACCCAGGUGGCCACAGUCAUCCUUAAGGAGAAAAUGACACAGACCGAGCCCUGCAUGGUGACUUUGUCACCUCACGUGAUUGAUGUGGGGACCCAACUGUCACAAGAUCCCUGUGCCACGCACCCCAUCUUCUGCACCCCAACACCACCACCGCCUCGCAGCACCAUCACCAACCCCAAACCGCCCCGCAGAGCUCUACGGCCCCUCGGGCAAAAAUCCAUUUCCCAACUCUCAGGGUACCAGGACCACACGGAGCAGGGCUCCUUGUCCUCGCAGCCCCCUCCAGCCCAGCCCAUCAGGGAGCAGAAUGAGCACCUGUGUGUGCUGCACCACAGGGCUGAGCAGCCGACACGCCAGAUCCCAGCACCAUCCCGGCCAUCACCUCCCACCAGCGACAUGGGCACCCAGGCCAGCACUGUGUCUGUGCACCCACACCCUGCUCCUGGGUUCCCCAAAGCCCCCUGUGCCUGUUGUCCCCAGCACUGCCCUACCAUCCCCUUGCCCUGGGAUGUCACCACCAGGGCUCUGCCCAAGCCAGGUCGCAGCUCAGCUUGGUGGCCCCUGCUGCACCCACAGCACACUGUCACCCCAGUGAUGGAGCCUGGCACUUCCAAGAGCAGCCCUGUGCAUGUGGAUGCCAUCUCAGAGGACACGACAGGUAGAGGUGGCUUCCGUGACAAUGUGACAGUGUGUGACAGAGCUCCUGCCACUGCUCUGCUGCAGGACAACAGCUCCAAGAACUUUAUCCAUGGAGCUGAUGGUGGGCGCAAGGUGGACAUGGAUCUGGCCACCGAAUUUAAUACCUACUUCAUGGGUGAGUUUGGGUGGUUGGGGUGA
Molecule: long non-coding RNA, 1164 nt
Filed under: Coturnix japonica (Japanese quail)
Lineage: Eukaryota; Metazoa; Chordata; Aves; Galliformes; Phasianidae
Description: lncRNA (ENSCJPG00005004359.1)
Source: RNAcentral